GAGCUAUCAAUUGCAUUGUUAAUUCUUUAGGAGCUGGCAAACCUAACCUUAACUUCUGUGUUAACUGGUUAGCUGCAUCACUUUUAAUUAUCUUGUUCAUGGUUUGUGGGAGAAGUUGGAGGGACUACUCAAGAUGAUUUGGUCCAUCUGUACUUGUGUUACUGACUCUUCCGUCCCUCUGUAACUUUGGAGCUUCCUUAAUGAAUUUACCCUUCAUUGUAGUUCAGUUUUUUUUAACAUCAAGGCAGCAAAGGAAGGGCAGUAUGGGGAAGUGAAAAGGCCACCACUAUACAGCUCUCCUUCACCACAUCCUUCUCUUUUCUAGUUGAGGCAGCAGUUUGCCUCACGUUAAAACCAAGCUAGUUUCUUUUCCCCCAACCCAGGGAUCCUGAAGUGUUACUGAGAAUUGCUCUGAGAGCCAUCAAUUUUCCCGUCUCUCUUGUGGCAUCUUCAGGGUUACUUUGAAUAAGAAGCCAGCAACCUAUAGUUGUUUUAUAAUGUUUUCAAAAACCAAAAUGAAUAUAUUUUUGAUUGUUGGAAAAAUGACUGAAUUAGUCAUUUUUGAAGCCUAAGUCAAAGCAAAGUAUAAAUCUCUUUUACUUUAAAUAUUGGCAGUAAUUCUGUUUCAUAAGAAAUAAAAGUAAACUAAGGAAGAAUACCUACGUGGAGACAUUUUAUAAAGAGCACUUCAGGAAGAUUUCCUUGUCUCCUGAAGGAGAAAAUAAAAACAUGGGGGAAUUUACUCAGAACUUUUGUUUGAUUUUUUUGUAUAGUAAAUGGAAACUGCUACAAGUCUGUCCACUUAACGUAUAUUUCAAGUUUUCCAAAGCUUAUCCAUUUUUAAGAAUUUUCUGAAAAAUUUAAGUGCAGAACUUAUACC
Molecule: long non-coding RNA, 880 nt
Filed under: Bos taurus (domestic cattle)
Lineage: Eukaryota; Metazoa; Chordata; Mammalia; Artiodactyla; Bovidae
Description: long non-coding RNA NONBTAT018648
Source: RNAcentral